This is a small nucleolar RNA of Macaca fascicularis (crab-eating macaque), 104 nucleotides long. NCBI's taxonomy places the organism in Eukaryota, Metazoa, Chordata, Mammalia, Primates, Cercopithecidae. The record is from Ensembl.
AUCCUUUUGCCGCUCAUAAGUGUGAUGAUUGGGUUUGCAUGCUCACGUGUAAGAUGUGUUUUCCUCAAACCUUGCUAUAAUAUCAGCACAGUACCUAUCUGACA